CAGUGUCGAUGCUCGUUUUCAUUAAUUUCAAGCGAAAGUAUAACCUCGUUAUUGUAAGAGGAGAUAAAACAUCUUGCAAUGUCAUAAUAUUACGUGAAUGACCCGCCGAUUGAAUACCGUUUGAUUUGCAUUCCGUCGCGUAAACAGCGUUUAAUCGCUAGAAGAAUCGUCGUCGAGCAUCGUUAUUCGUGUCACGGUGAAAUCGAACUGGAUUAUCGAUCAACGAUGCACAGAUACGCAUUCGUAAUAUGCAAAUACCCGUUAUCAGCUUUUACCAGUUAAUUACUCGCCGCGAAUACCGAUUUCGAAGGACAAACACGUAGAUAACAGAGAAAGGCUACAAGUAACCACGACCAACUAACACAAAUCCUUUAUUUGGAAUGUCAAGAGAUGUA
Osmia lignaria (orchard mason bee) is the source of this 395-nucleotide long non-coding RNA. RefSeq lists it as uncharacterized. The record is from RefSeq and is a predicted model, not a curated record. Lineage: Eukaryota; Metazoa; Arthropoda; Insecta; Hymenoptera; Megachilidae.